Molecule: ribosomal RNA, 497 nt
Filed under: uncultured bacterium
Lineage: Bacteria
Description: partial 16S ribosomal RNA
Rfam family: Bacterial small subunit ribosomal RNA
Source: RNAcentral
GAUGAACGCUGGCGGCGUGCCUAAUACAUGCAAGUCGAGCGAACGGACGAGAAGCUUGCUUCUCUGAUGUUAGCGGCGGACGGGUGAGUAACACGUGGAUAACCUACCUAUAAGACUGGGAUAACUUCGGGAAACCGGAGCUAAUACCGGAUAAUAUUUUGAACCGCAUGGUUCAAAAGUGAAAGACGGUCUUGCUGUCACUUAUAGAUGGAUCCGCGCUGCAUUAGCUAGUUGGUAAGGUAACGGCUUACCAAGGCAACGAUGCAUAGCCGACCUGAGAGGGUGAUCGGCCACACGGGAACGGAGACACGGUCCACACUCCUACGGGAGGCAGCAGUAGGGAAUCCUCCGCAAUGGGCGAAAUCCUGACGGAGCAACGCCGCGUGAGUGAUGAAGGUCAUCGGACCGUAAAAAUCUGUUAUUAGGGAAGAACAUAUUUGUAAGUAACUGUGCACAUCUUGACGGUACCUAAGCAGAAAGCCACGGCUAACUACGUG